UGAAUAAUUGCCUUGUUUUCGGUUUUUCACUAUGAUAAAUUCUGCAAUGACUAUCUUUGUACAUAAAACCUUUUCUGUUCCCAUCUAGGCAACUUCUAUAGAAAAGUCCACCUUCAGGAAGAGGAUUCGUGGGUCACAGUGGUGCUUCUUUCCAUGACCUUGGAAAGUUUGGCCAUGCAGUCUCCCAAAGCAAGAAUAUUCCAACACUGACUUAUCCAUUCUCCUGCUGAUGGACAGUUGAGUUGUUUCCAGUUUGAAGAGCAUGAGCUAUGGAGCUGGAGUACCUGGGCUUAAAACCAGACAUUUCUAGCCCUGGCCUCACCGGCCGCAUGACUUGAGGCCUGACACUUAGUAGAGAGGAAAAUAUACAAAUGGCCAAUAAGCACAUGAGCACAUCAUUUGUCAUCAGGGAAAUGAAAAUCCAAACCACAAUGAGAUAGCACAUCACACCUACUCACAGAGCUAGCAAAAGAUGGGAUAAUAACAAGCCUUCAUGAGGAUCUGGAAAAAUUGGAGCCUUCCUACACUGCUGAUGGGAUAUAAAAUGGCAAAGCUGUUCUGGAAAAUCAUCUGACAGUGAGCAUUCGCUACUUUACAAAAGAAGAAACAAGACUAUUUUGUUGAAGUGUGCCAAUGUGAAAGGGUUAGUUAGUUAUUAUUGGUCUGAAUACGUGGACUUUGGAGCCUGGCAGGUCAACAAUGACACGCGGAAAAGCACACAACACAAGGGUGACUGCAGAUUGCUGGGCAGAGGGCGUUUACUUUCUGGUCCACUGAAUACCCCGCUCUGGAUGCUAGCGGCCAAGUUUCCUCCUGUGUUAUGUGGGAGGAAAAAGGAUGUCAGAAACUUGUCUGCUAAAGGAAGAGUGUUAUGGGCUGAAUUACAUCACGCUAAAAUUCAUACGUGGGAGCCCUAACUCAUACUACCUCAGAAUGUGACUGGAUGAGAUAGGGUCUUUAAAGGGCAAUUAAAUGAAGGUGAGGCCAUUAGGGUGGGCUCUAAUCCAAUCUGAUUGGUGUUCUUAUAAGAAGAGGAAGUAAGACUCACUGAGAGACCCCAGGAAUGUGCACACACAGAGAAGAGACCCUGUGAGGACACAGCCAGAAGGCAGCCAAGGAGAGAGGUCUCAGAAGAAACUAAACUCAUCAGCACCUUGAUCUUAGACUUCUAGCUUCCAGAACUUGGGAGAAAAUAAGUGUCUGUUGUUUAAGCUGCCCUGUCUGCUAUUUUGUUAUGGUAGCCCAGCAAAUGAAUACAAGGAUACUCAUGAUUUUAAGUUUC
This is a long non-coding RNA of Neofelis nebulosa (Clouded leopard), 1282 nucleotides long. RefSeq lists it as uncharacterized. Lineage: Eukaryota; Metazoa; Chordata; Mammalia; Carnivora; Felidae. The record is from RefSeq and is a predicted model, not a curated record. The transcript is spliced from 5 exons.